GAGAGUGCUGAUGUCAUAAUUCUGGAUGAUAAUUUUUCUACUAUCGUGACAGUGGCCAAAUGGGGACGUUCAGUUUACAUGAAUAUUCAAAAGUUUGUGCAGUUCCAGCUGACAGUUAAUGUUGUUGCAUUAAUUGUUAACUUCUCUUCAGCUUGUUUGACAGGGAGCGCCCCCCUCACUGCUGUUCAGCUUUUGUGGGUAAAUAUGAUCAUGGAUACACUGGGAGCUCUUGCACUUGCAACAGAGCCUCCAAAAGAUGAACUAAUGAAGCGCUCACCAGUUGGAAGGAAAGGGAAUUUCAUCAGUAAUGUCAUGUGGAGAAAUAUCCUAGGCCAGUCUUUGUAUCAAUUUAUGGUAAUAUGGUAUCUUCAG
This 372-nucleotide unclassified non-coding RNA is filed under the name Hevea brasiliensis (rubber tree). The record is from RNAcentral. Lineage: Eukaryota; Viridiplantae; Streptophyta; Magnoliopsida; Malpighiales; Euphorbiaceae.